GACGAACGCUGGCGGCGUGCUUAACACAUGCAAGUCGAACGGAAAGGCCCUGCUUUUGUGGGGUGCUCGAGUGGCGAACGGGUGAGUAACACGUGAGUAACCUGCCCUUGACUUUGGGAUAACUUCAGGAAACCGGGGCUAAUACCGGAUAGGAGCUCCUGCUGCAUGGUGGGGGUUGGAAAGUUUCGGCGGUUGGGGAUGGACUCGCGGCUUAUCAGCUUGUUGGUGGGGUAGUGGCUUACCAAGGCUUUGACGGGUAGCCGGCCUGAGAGGGUGACCGGCCACAUUGGGACUGAGAUACGGCCCAGACUCCUACGGGAGGCAGCAGUGGGGAAUAUUGCACAAUGGGCGGAAGCCUGAUGCAGCAACGCCGCGUGCGGGAUGACGGCCUUCGGGUUGUAAACCGCUUUCGCCUGUGACGAAGCGUGAGUGACGGUAAUGGGUAAAGAAGCACCGGCUAACUACGUG
RNAcentral lists this ribosomal RNA (468 nucleotides) under uncultured bacterium. RNAcentral's name for it is "partial 16S ribosomal RNA". It matches the Rfam family "Bacterial small subunit ribosomal RNA", at positions 28 to 507 of the family's 1533-position model. The record is from RNAcentral.